Molecule: ribosomal RNA, 1376 nt
Filed under: bacterium NLAE-zl-P485
Lineage: Bacteria
Description: 16S ribosomal RNA
Rfam family: Bacterial small subunit ribosomal RNA
Source: RNAcentral
CAUGCAAGUCGAGGGGCAGCAUGGUCUUAGCUUGCUAAGGCCGAUGGCGACCGGCGCACGGGUGAGUAACACGUAUCCAACCUGCCGUCUACUCUUGGACAGCCUUCUGAAAGGAAGAUUAAUACAAGAUGGCAUCAUGAGUCCGCAUGUUCACAUGAUUAAAGGUAUUCCGGUAGACGAUGGGGAUGCGUUCCAUUAGAUAGUAGGCGGGGUAACGGCCCACCUAGUCUUCGAUGGAUAGGGGUUCUGAGAGGAAGGUCCCCCACAUUGGAACUGAGACACGGUCCAAACUCCUACGGGAGGCAGCAGUGAGGAAUAUUGGUCAAUGGGCGAGAGCCUGAACCAGCCAAGUAGCGUGAAGGAUGACUGCCCUAUGGGUUGUAAACUUCUUUUAUAAAGGAAUAAAGUCGGGUAUGNAUACCCGUUUGCAUGUNCUUUAUGAAUAAGGAUCGGCUAACUCCGUGCCAGCAGCCGCGGUAAUACGGAGGAUCCGAGCGUUAUCCGGAUUUAUUGGGUUUAAAGGGAGCGUAGAUGGAUGUUUAAGUCAGUUGUGAAAGUUUGCGGCUCAACCGUAAAAUUGCAGUUGAUACUGGAUAUCUUGAGUGCAGUUGAGGCAGGCGGAAUUCGUGGUGUAGCGGUGAAAUGCUUAGAUAUCACGAAGAACUCCGAUUGCGAAGGCAGCCUGCUAAGCUGCAACUGACAUUGAGGCUCGAAAGUGUGGGUAUCAAACAGGAUUAGAUACCCUGGUAGUCCACACGGUAAACGAUGAAUACUCGCUGUUUGCGAUAUACGGCAAGCGGCCAAGCGAAAGCGUUAAGUAUUCCACCUGGGGAGUACGCCGGCAACGGUGAAACUCAAAGGAAUUGACGGGGGCCCGCACAAGCGGAGGAACAUGUGGUUUAAUUCGAUGAUACGCGAGGAACCUUACCCGGGCUUAAAUUGCAGAUGAAUUACGGUGAAAGCCGUAAGCCGCAAGGCAUCUGUGAAGGUGCUGCAUGGUUGUCGUCAGCUCGUGCCGUGAGGUGUCGGCUUAAGUGCCAUAACGAGCGCAACCCUUGUUGUCAGUUACUAACAGGUUCCGCUGAGGACUCUGACAAGACUGCCAUCGUAAGAUGUGAGGAAGGUGGGGAUGACGUCAAAUCAGCACGGCCCUUACGUCCGGGGCUACACACGUGUUACAAUGGGGGGUACAGAGGGCCGCUACCACGCGAGUGGAUGCCAAUCCCAAAAACCUCUCUCAGUUCGGACUGGAGUCUGCAACCCGACUCCACGAAGCUGGAUUCGCUAGUAAUCGCGCAUCAGCCACGGCGCGGUGAAUACGUUCCCGGGCCUUGUACACACCGCCCGUCAAGCCAUGGGAGCCGGGGGUACCUGAA